RNAcentral lists this ribosomal RNA (252 nucleotides) under uncultured Paenibacillus sp. Its description in RNAcentral is "partial 16S ribosomal RNA". It matches the Rfam family "Bacterial small subunit ribosomal RNA", at positions 524 to 776 of the family's 1533-position model. Lineage: Bacteria; Bacillati; Bacillota; Bacilli; Caryophanales; Paenibacillaceae. The record is from RNAcentral.
UACGUAGGGGGCAAGCGUUGUCCGGAAUUAUUGGGCGUAAAGCGCGCGCAGGCGGUUAUUUAAGUCUUAUGUAUAAAGCCAAGGCUCAACCUUGGAUCGCAUGGGAAACUGGGUGGCUGGAGUGUAGGAGAGGAAAGUGGAAUUCCACGUGUAGCGGUGAAAUGCGUAGAGAUGUGGAGGAACACCGGUGGCGAAGGCGACUUUCUGUCCUAUAACUGACGCUGAGGCGCGAAAGCGUGGGGAGCAAACAGG